GACGAACGCUGGCGGCGUGCUUAACACAUGCAAGUCGAGCGGGCAUCAGCAAUGGUGUCAGCGGCGGACGGGUGCGUAACGCGUGAAUAAUCUGUCCUUGCUAGGGGGAUAACGUUUGGAAACAGACGCUAAUACCGCAUAAGACCACGGAGGGGAUUCCCUUUGGGGUAAAAGGAGUCAAAUCUGAGCGAGGGUGAGUUCGCGUCCCAUUAGGUAGUUGGUGAGGUAAAGGCCCACCAAGCCUACGAUGGGUAGCCGAUCUGAGAGGAUGACCGGCCACACUGGAACUGAGAAACGGUCCAGACUCCUACGGGAGGCAGCAGUGGGGAAUAUUGGGCAAUGGGCGAAAGCCUGACCCAGCGACGCCGCGUGAGGGAAGAAGGCCUUCGGGUUGUAAACCUCUGUCCCAUGUGAAGAGAAGAAGACGGUAGCAUGGGAGGAAGCCCCGGCUAACUACGUGCCAGCAGCCGCGGUAAUACGUAGGGGGCGAGCGUUGUCCGGAAUGACUGGGCGUAAAGGGCGCGUAGGCGGCCGAUUAAGUAUCAGGUGGAAGUCCCGAAUUCAAAGCGGGAAUUGCCUGGUAGACUGGUUGGCUUGAGUGUCGGAGAGGUUAGUGGAAUUCCCGGUGUAGCGGUGAAAUGCGUAGAGAUCGGGAGGAACACCAGUGGCGAAGGCGACUAACUGGACGAAGACUGACGCUGAGGCGCGAAAGCGUGGGUAGCAAACAGGAUUAGAUACCCUGGUAGUCCACGCUGUAAACGAUGGAUGCUAGGUGUAGGAGGUAUCGACCCCUUCUGUGCCGUAGUUAACUCAAUAAGCAUCCCGCCUGGGGAGUACGGCCGCAAGGUUGAAACUCAAAGGAAUUGACGGGACCCCGCACAAGCAGCGGAGCAUGUGGUUUAAUUCGACGCAACGCGAAGAACCUUACCAGGUCUUGACAUCGAAGGAACCUGAAGAGAUUCGGGGUGCCCGCAAGGGAGCCUGAAGACAGGUGGUGCAUGGUUGUCGUCAGCUCGUGUCGUGAGAUGUUGGGUUAAGUCCCGCAACGAGCGCAACCCUUGUCGUCAGUUACUAACGAGUAAAGUCGAGGACUCUGACGAGACUGCCGUGGACAACACGGAGGAAGGUGGGGAUGACGUCAAAUCAUCAUGCCCCUUAUGACCUGGGCUACACACGUGCUACAAUGGCCGGAACAAAGUGGAACGAAACCGUAAGGUGGAGUGGAUCACAAAAACCGGUCUCAGUUCAGAUUGUGGGCUGCAACCCGCCCACAUGAAGUAGGAGUUGCUAGUAAUCGCGAAUCAGCAUGUCGCGGUGAAUACGUUCCCGGGGUUU
RNAcentral lists this ribosomal RNA (1335 nucleotides) under uncultured Eubacteriales bacterium. Its description in RNAcentral is "bacterial SSU rRNA". It matches the Rfam family "Bacterial small subunit ribosomal RNA", at positions 28 to 1382 of the family's 1533-position model. The record is from RNAcentral. Lineage: Bacteria; Bacillati; Bacillota; Clostridia; Eubacteriales.